RNAcentral lists this ribosomal RNA (503 nucleotides) under uncultured bacterium. RNAcentral describes it as "bacterial SSU rRNA". It matches the Rfam family "Bacterial small subunit ribosomal RNA", at positions 17 to 518 of the family's 1533-position model. The record is from RNAcentral.
UUCUGGCUCAGGAUGAACGCUGGCGGCGUGCUUAACACAUGCAAGUCGAACGAAGCAGUUUAUCACGAUCCCUUCGGGGUGACGAUUUGCUGACUGAGUGGCGGACGGGUGAGUAACGCGUGGGCAACCUGCCUUGUACAGGGGGACAACAGUUGGAAACGACUGCUAAUACCGCAUAAGCGCACAGUGUUGCAUGACACAGUGUGAAAAGAUUUAUCGGUACAAGAUGGACCCGCGUCUGAUUAGCUAGUUGGUGAGGUAACGGCCCACCAAGGCGACGAUCAGUAGCCGACCUGAGAGGGUGACCGGCCACAUUGGGACUGAGACACGGCCCAAACUCCUACGGGAGGCAGCAGUGGGGAAUAUUGCACAAUGGGCGAAAGCCUGAUGCAGCCGACGCCGCGUGAGCGAAGAAGUAUUUCGGUAUGUAAAGCUCUAUCAGCAGGGAAGAUAAUGACGGUACCUGACUAAGAAGCACCGGCUAAAUACGUGCCAGCAGCGGC